This 746-nucleotide ribosomal RNA is filed under the name Streptomyces sp. Its description in RNAcentral is "bacterial SSU rRNA". It matches the Rfam family "Bacterial small subunit ribosomal RNA", at positions 71 to 831 of the family's 1533-position model. The record is from RNAcentral. Lineage: Bacteria; Bacillati; Actinomycetota; Actinomycetes; Kitasatosporales; Streptomycetaceae.
GAACCACCUUCGGGUGGGGAUUAGUGGCGAACGGGUGAGUAACACGUGGGCAAUCUGCCCUGCACUCUGGGACAAGCCCUGGAAACGGGGUCUAAUACCGGAUACUGACCCGCCUGGGCAUCCAGGCGGUUCGAAAGCUCCGGCGGUGCAGGAUGAGCCCGCGGCCUAUCAGCUUGUUGGUGAGGUAACGGCUCACCAAGGCGACGACGGGUAGCCGGCCUGAGAGGGCGACCGGCCACACUGGGACUGAGACACGGCCCAGACUCCUACGGGAGGCAGCAGUGGGGAAUAUUGCACAAUGGGCGCAAGCCUGAUGCAGCGACGCCGCGUGAGGGAUGACGGCCUUCGGGUUGUAAACCUCUUUCAGCAGGGAAGAAGCGCAAGUGACGGUACCUGCAGAAGAAGCGCCGGCUAACUACGUGCCAGCAGCCGCGGUAAUACGUAGGGCGCGAGCGUUGUCCGGAAUUAUUGGGCGUAAAGAGCUCGUAGGCGGCUUGUCGCGUCGGUUGUGAAAGCCCGGGGCUUAACCCCGGGUCUGCAGUCGAUACGGGCAGGCUAGAGUUCGGUAGGGGAGAUCGGAAUUCCUGGUGUAGCGGUGAAAUGCGCAGAUAUCAGGAGGAACACCGGUGGCGAAGGCGGAUCUCUGGGCCGAUACUGACGCUGAGGAGCGAAAGCGUGGGGAGCGAACAGGAUUAGAUACCCUGGUAGUCCACGCCGUAAACGGUGGGCACUAGGUGUGGGCGACA